UACGGAGGAUCCGAGCGUUAUCCGGAUUUAUUGGGUUUAAAGGGUGCGUAGGCGGACUGUUAAGUCAGCUGUGAAAGUCUGCGGCUCAACCGUGUAAUUGCAGUUGAUACUGUUGGUCUUGAGUAUAGAUGAGGUGGGCGGAAUUUGUGGUGUAGCGGUGAAAUGCUUAGAUAUCAAAAAGAACUCCGAUUGCGAAGGCAGCUCACUGGGGUAUAACUGACACUGAUGCACGAAGGUGUGGGUAUCAAACAGG
This 253-nucleotide ribosomal RNA is filed under the name uncultured bacterium. RNAcentral's name for it is "partial 16S ribosomal RNA". It matches the Rfam family "Bacterial small subunit ribosomal RNA", at positions 524 to 776 of the family's 1533-position model. The record is from RNAcentral.